This 61-nucleotide transfer RNA is filed under the name Thampoa tiani. RNAcentral describes it as "tRNA-Cys". Lineage: Eukaryota; Metazoa; Arthropoda; Insecta; Hemiptera; Cicadellidae. The record is from RNAcentral.
GGUCUUGUAUUUUAAUUAAAAAUAUUGGAUUGCAAAUCUGAAGAUGAUAACUCUAAGACUU